Molecule: ribosomal RNA, 500 nt
Filed under: uncultured bacterium
Lineage: Bacteria
Description: partial 16S ribosomal RNA
Rfam family: Bacterial small subunit ribosomal RNA
Source: RNAcentral
AUUGAACGCUGGCGGCAUGCCUUACACAUGCAAGUCGAGCGGCAGCGCGGGGGCAACCCUGGCGGCGAGCGGCGGACGGGUGAGUAAUACAUCGGAACGCGUCCUUUCGUGGGGGAUAACCAGUCGAACGACUGGCUAAUACCGCAUGAGAUCUCACGAUGAAAGCGGGGGACCGCAAGGCCUCGCGCGCUUGGAGCGGCCGAUGUCGGAUUAGCUAGUUGGCGGGGUAAAAGCCCACCAAGGCGACGAUCCGUAGCUGGUUUGAGAGAACGACCAGCCACACUGGGACUGAGACACGGCCCAGACUCCUACGGGAGGCAGCAGUGGGGAAUUUUGGACAAUGGGGGCAACCCUGAUCCAGCCAUGCCGCGUGUGUGAAGAAGGCCUUCGGGUUGUAAAGCACUUUCGGCCGGAACGAAAUCGCGCGGAUUAAUAACCCGCGUGGAUGACGGUACCGGAAGAAGAAGCACCGGCUAACUACGUGCCAGCCGCCGCGGUAA